CGCAGCUAACUGCGAUAAGCAAUGCGAAUUGCAGAAUCCGCGAGUCAUCAGAUUUUCGAACGCAACCGGCGUGUGGGUUAAUUACCUGCAGCAAGUUUGCUUCAGUCUUUUUGAUUAUUACACAUCAAAAUGCGAUUGAACUUCGGUUCUCUCGUCAAACGUGAAUACGACGUAUUCCAACCCAGUGAAGCAGUCACGUUCACGUGAUUUCGCUGGCUCUUGGACUAUGAACAGUAUCGAGACGCUAG
Molecule: unclassified non-coding RNA, 248 nt
Filed under: uncultured fungus
Lineage: Eukaryota; Fungi
Description: sequence contains 5.8S rRNA gene, ITS2
Rfam family: 5.8S ribosomal RNA (bases 1-110)
Source: RNAcentral